Molecule: ribosomal RNA, 370 nt
Filed under: uncultured organism
Description: bacterial SSU rRNA
Rfam family: Bacterial small subunit ribosomal RNA
Source: RNAcentral
CGUAGGCAGCAAGCGUUGUUCGGAAUUACUGGGCGUAAAGAGUGUGUAGGCGGUGCUCCAAGUCUGGUGUGAAAUCUCCCGGCUUAACUGGGAGGGUGCAUUAGAAACUGGAAUGCUAGAGGAUGGGAGAGGUAAGCGGAAUUCCUGGUGUAGCGGUGAAAUGCGUAGAUAUCAGGAGGAACACCUGUGGUGUAGACAGCUUACUGGACCAUUUCUGACGCUGAGACACGAAAGCGUGGGUAGCAAACAGGAUUAGAUACCCUGGUAGUCCACGCCCUAAACGAUGCAUACUUGGUGUGAGCGAUUCAUUUCGUUCGUGCCGGAGCUAACGCGUUAAGUAUGCCGCCUGGGGAGUACGGUCGCAAGGCUG